RNAcentral lists this ribosomal RNA (551 nucleotides) under Heterogeomys dariensis (Darien pocket gopher). Its description in RNAcentral is "partial 16S ribosomal RNA". It matches the Rfam family "Bacterial large subunit ribosomal RNA", at positions 1816 to 2597 of the family's 2925-position model. Lineage: Eukaryota; Metazoa; Chordata; Mammalia; Rodentia; Geomyidae. The record is from RNAcentral.
CACCUCUAGCAUAAAAAGUAUUAGAGGCAUUGCCUGCCCAGUGACAAAAGUUAAACGGCCGCGGUAUUCUGACCGUGCAAAGGUAGCAUAAUCAUUUGUUCUCUAAUUAAGGACUUGUAUGAAUGGCACGACGAGGGUUUUACUGUCUCUUAUAUUUAAUCUAUGAAAUUGACCUUUCCGUGAAGAGGCGGAAAUAAAUAAAUAAGACGAGAAGACCCUAUGGAGCUUCAAUUAAAUACUUUAUAACUUUAAAUACAACUCUACAAGAAAUAACAAAUAACUAAUUUAAAAGUAAAAAAUUUUGGUUGGGGUGACCUCGGAGCACAACAAAACCUCCGAAAGAUUAAAAUAUAGACCUACAAGUCGAUAUUAAUACAAAUCAUAAUUGACCCAGAAAUCUGAUCAAUGAACCAAGUUACCCUAGGGAUAACAGCGCAAUCUUAUUGGAGAGUCCAUAUCGAUAAUAAGGGUUUACGACCUCGAUGUUGGAUCAGGACAUCCUAAUGGUGCAGAAGCUAUUAAGGGUUCGUUUGUUCAACGAUUAAAGUCCU